Molecule: ribosomal RNA, 253 nt
Filed under: uncultured prokaryote
Description: partial 16S ribosomal RNA
Rfam family: Bacterial small subunit ribosomal RNA
Source: RNAcentral
UACGAAGGUCCCAAGCGUUGUUCGGAAUUACUGGGCGUAAAGGGCGCGUAGGCGGCCCUCUAAGUCGAACGUGAAAUCCCCGGGCUCAACCCGGGAACUGCGUCCGAUACUGGAGGGCUCGAAUCCGGGAGAGGGAUGUGGAAUUCCAGGUGUAGCGGUGAAAUGCGUAGAUAUCUGGAGGAACACCGGUGGCGAAGGCGGCAUCCUGGACCGGUAUUGACGCUGAGGCGCGAAAGCCAGGGGAGCAAACGGG